This 966-nucleotide ribosomal RNA is filed under the name uncultured bacterium. RNAcentral's name for it is "bacterial SSU rRNA". It matches the Rfam family "Bacterial small subunit ribosomal RNA", at positions 534 to 1500 of the family's 1533-position model. The record is from RNAcentral.
GGGGACGUUUUUUUGGAUCAUUGGGCGUAAGCGCGUGUAGGCGGUCGGGCAAGUCAGAUGUGAAAGCCCUUGGCUUAACCAAGGAAGUGCAUUUGAAACUGCCCGGCUUGAGUACGGGAGGGGGAAGUGGAAUUCCCGGUGUAGAGGUGAAAUUCGUAGAUAUCGGGAGGAACACCGGUGGCGAAGGCGGCUUCCUGGACCGAUACUGACGCUGAGACGCGAAAGCGUGGGGAGCAAACAGGAUUAGAUACCCUGGUAGUCCACGCCAUAAACGAUGAGAACUAGACGUUGAGAGGGUAAGCCUCGCAGUGUCGUAGCUAACGCGCUAAGUUCUCCGCCUGGGGAGUACGGCCGCAAGGUUGAAACUCAAAGGAAUUGACGGGUCCCCGCACAAGCGGUGGAGCAUGUGGCUUAAUUCGAGGCUACGCGAAGAACCUUACCAGGGCUUGACAUCCUGAGAACCCUCUCGAAAGAGAGGGGUGCCUUUCGGGGAACUCAGAGACAGGUGGUGCAUGGCUGUCGUCAGUUCGUGUCGUGAGAUGUUGGGUUAAGUCCCGCAACGAGCGCAACCCCCGUCGCAUGUUGCCAGCAUUUAGUUGGGGACUCAUGCGAGACUGCCGGUGACAAACCGGAGGAAGGUGGGGAUGACGUCAAGUCAUCAUGCCCCUUAUGUCCAGGGCUACACACGUGCUACAUUGGCGCGUACAGAGGGUUGCGAUACCGCGAGGUGGAGCGAAUCCCUUAAAGCGCGUCUCGGUUCGGAUUGCAGGCUGAAACUCGCCUGCAUGAAGGCGGAGUUGCUAGUAAUCGCGGAUCAGCACUGCCGCGGUGAAUACGUUCCCGGGCCUUGUACACACCGCCCGUCACACCAUGGGAGUCAAUUGCUCCAGAAGUCGCCGUGCCAACCGCAAGGAGGCAGGCGCCCAAGAGUGAUUGGUAACUGGGGUGAAGUCGUAACAAGGUAAC